ACGGGAGGCAGCAGUGGGGAAUAUUGCGCAAUGGGGGAAACCCUGACGCAGCGACGCCGCGUGAGUGAGGAAGUAUUUCGGUAUGUAAAGCUCUAUCAGCAAGGAUGAUAAUGACGGUACUUGACUAAGAAGCCCCGGCUAACUACGUGCCAGCAGCCGCGGUAAUACGUAGGGGGCAAGCGUUAUCCGGAUUUACUGGGUGUAAAGGGAGCGUAGACGGUUCGGCAAGUCUGAUGUGAAAGCCCGGGGCUCAACCCCGGGACUGCAUUGGAAACUGUCGAACUAGAGUGCAGGAGAGGUAAGUGGAAUUCCUAGUGUAGCGGUGAAAUGCGUAGAUAUUAGGAGGAACACCAGUGGCGAAGGCGGCUUACUGGACUGUAACUGACGUUGAGGCUCGAAAGCGUGGGGAGCAAACAGGAUUAGAUACCUUGGUA
Molecule: ribosomal RNA, 434 nt
Filed under: uncultured Lachnospiraceae bacterium
Lineage: Bacteria; Bacillati; Bacillota; Clostridia; Lachnospirales; Lachnospiraceae
Description: bacterial SSU rRNA
Rfam family: Bacterial small subunit ribosomal RNA
Source: RNAcentral